RNAcentral lists this ribosomal RNA (424 nucleotides) under uncultured cyanobacterium. Its description in RNAcentral is "bacterial SSU rRNA". It matches the Rfam family "Bacterial small subunit ribosomal RNA", at positions 356 to 795 of the family's 1533-position model. The record is from RNAcentral. Lineage: Bacteria; Bacillati; Cyanobacteriota.
GGGGAAUUUUCCGCAAUGGGCGAAAGCCUGACGGAGCAAUACCGCGUGAGGGAGGAAGGCUCUUGGGUUGUAAACCUCUUUUCUCAGGGAAUAAGAACUGAAGGUACCUGAGGAAUCAGCAUCGGCUAACUCCGUGCCAGCAGCCGCGGUAAUACGGAGGAUGCAAGCGUUAUCCGGAAUGAUUGGGCGUAAAGCGUCCGCAGGUGGUUUAUCAAGUCUGCUGUCAAAGAGUUUGGCUCAACCAAAUAAAGGCAGUGGAAACUGACAGACUGGAGUGCGGUAAGGGCAGAGGGAAUUCCUGGUGUAGCGGUGAAAUGCGUAGAGAUCAGGAAGAACACCGGUGGCGAAAGCGCUCUGCUGGGCCGUAACUGACACUGAGGGACGAAAGCUAGGGGAGCGAAAGGGAUUANAUACCCCUGUAGUC